AUUGAACGCUGGCGGCAUGCUUUACACAUGCAAGUCGAACGGCAGCACGGGAGCAAUCCUGGUGGCGAGUGGCGAACGGGUGAGUAAUAUAUCGGAACGUGCCCAGUAGUGGGGGAUAACUGCUCGAAAGAGCAGCUAAUACCGCAUACGACCUGAGGGUGAAAGGGGGGGAUCGCAAGACCUCUCGCUAUUGGAGCGGCCGAUAUCAGAUUAGCUAGUUGGUGGGGUAAAGGCCUACCAAGGCAACGAUCUGUAGUUGGUCUGAGAGGACGACCAGCCACACUGGGACUGAGACACGGUCCAGACUCCUACGGGAGGCAGCAGUGAGGAAUAUUGCGCAAUGGAGGAAACUCUGACGCAGCGACGCCGCGUGAAGGAUGAAGGCCCUCUCGGGUUGUAAACUUCUGUAGAGAGGGAAG
This 419-nucleotide ribosomal RNA is filed under the name uncultured bacterium. RNAcentral's name for it is "bacterial SSU rRNA". It matches the Rfam family "Bacterial small subunit ribosomal RNA", at positions 30 to 447 of the family's 1533-position model. The record is from RNAcentral.